AGCAGCCGCGGUAAUUCCAGCUCCAAUAGCGUAUAUUAAAGUUGUUGCAGUUAAAAAGCUCGUAGUUGAAUUUCGGAAUCUGUCCGUUGGUCGGGCUUAAUUGUCCGUACUGAUGUGAUGGGUUCUUACCUUCUGAAUAACCAGCAUGCCAUUAAUUUAGUGUGUUGGGGAAGCAGGACUAUUACCUUAGAAAAAAUUAGAGUGCUCAAAGCAGGCUAGUGCCUGAAUACAUUAGCAUGGAAUAAUAAAAUGGGACGGCAUGGUUCUAUUUUGUUGGUUUCUAGGAUCACCGUAAUGAUUAAUAGGGAUAGGUUGGGGGCAUUUAGUAUUCAAUUGUCAGAGGUGAAAUUCUUGGAUUUAUGAAGACUAACUUCUGCGAAAGCAUUUGCCAAGGAUGUUUUCAUUAAUCAAGAACGAAAGUUAGGGGAUCGAAGACG
RNAcentral lists this ribosomal RNA (437 nucleotides) under uncultured Acaulospora. RNAcentral describes it as "SSU rRNA". It matches the Rfam family "Eukaryotic small subunit ribosomal RNA", at positions 569 to 1006 of the family's 1831-position model. The record is from RNAcentral. Lineage: Eukaryota; Fungi; Glomeromycota; Glomeromycetes; Diversisporales; Acaulosporaceae.